UACAGAGGGUGCGAGCGUUAAUCGGAGUUACUGGGCGUAAAGGGCGCGUAGGCGGUUUAAUAAGAUUGAUGUGAAAUCCCUGGGCUUAACCUAGGGCGGUCAUCGAUGACUAUUAAGCUGGAGUACUGUAGAGGGUAGUGGAAUUUCCGGUGUAGCGGUGAAAUGCGUAGAGAUCGGAAGGAACACCAGUGGCGAAGGCGACUACCUGGACAGAUACUGACGCUGAGGCGCGAGAGCGUGGGGAGCAAACAGG
RNAcentral lists this ribosomal RNA (253 nucleotides) under uncultured bacterium. RNAcentral describes it as "partial 16S ribosomal RNA". It matches the Rfam family "Bacterial small subunit ribosomal RNA", at positions 524 to 776 of the family's 1533-position model. The record is from RNAcentral.